Molecule: microRNA precursor, 73 nt
Filed under: Marmota monax (woodchuck)
Lineage: Eukaryota; Metazoa; Chordata; Mammalia; Rodentia; Sciuridae
Source: RNAcentral
CUUCUACUGAAACAUGGAAGCACUUACUCUUUUUUUAAAAAGCACAGAAAGCACCUCCAUGUUAAAGUUGAAG